Molecule: transfer RNA, 72 nt
Filed under: Oceanobacillus profundus
Lineage: Bacteria; Bacillati; Bacillota; Bacilli; Caryophanales; Bacillaceae
Rfam family: tRNA
About the family: Transfer RNA (tRNA) molecules are approximately 80 nucleotides in length. Their secondary structure includes four short double-helical elements and three loops (D, anti-codon, and T loops). Further hydrogen bonds mediate the characteristic L-shaped molecular structure. tRNAs have two regions of fundamental functional importance: the anti-codon, which is responsible for specific mRNA codon recognition, and the 3' end, to which the tRNAs corresponding amino acid is attached (by aminoacyl-tRNA synthetases). tRNAs cope with the degeneracy of the genetic code in two manners: having more than one tRNA (with a specific anti-codon) for a particular amino acid; and 'wobble' base-pairing, i.e. permitting non-standard base-pairing at the 3rd anti-codon position.
Source: Rfam by way of RNAcentral
UGGGAUAUAGCUCAGCGGUAGAGCAAUCGGCUGUUAACCGAUAGGUCGUAGGUUCGAAACCUACUAUCCCAG